This 90-nucleotide transfer RNA is filed under the name Parvibaculum sp. RNAcentral describes it as "tRNA-Ser". It matches the Rfam family "tRNA". From Rfam's summary of the family: Transfer RNA (tRNA) molecules are approximately 80 nucleotides in length. Their secondary structure includes four short double-helical elements and three loops (D, anti-codon, and T loops). Further hydrogen bonds mediate the characteristic L-shaped molecular structure. tRNAs have two regions of fundamental functional importance: the anti-codon, which is responsible for specific mRNA codon recognition, and the 3' end, to which the tRNAs corresponding amino acid is attached (by aminoacyl-tRNA synthetases). tRNAs cope with the degeneracy of the genetic code in two manners: having more than one tRNA (with a specific anti-codon) for a particular amino acid; and 'wobble' base-pairing, i.e. permitting non-standard base-pairing at the 3rd anti-codon position. Lineage: Bacteria; Pseudomonadati; Pseudomonadota; Alphaproteobacteria; Hyphomicrobiales; Parvibaculaceae. The record is from RNAcentral. RNAcentral also lists the same sequence under 1 other name.
GGAGAGGUGGCCGAGUGGUUUAAGGCUCCAGUCUUGAAAACUGGCGUGGGUGCAAGUCCACCGUGAGUUCGAAUCUCACCCUCUCCGCCA